CCUACGGGGGGCUGCAGUAGGGAAUAUUGCUCAAUGGGGGAAACCCUGAAGCAGCAACGCCGCGUGGAGGAUGAAGGUGGUCGGAUGGUAAACUCCUGGUGUUAGAGAAGAGAAGGACGGUAGCUAACGAAGAAGCACCGGCUAACUCCGUGCCAGCAGCCGCGGUAAUACGGAGGGUGCAAGCGUUACUCGGAAUCACUGGGCGUAAAGAGCGCGUAGGCGGGAUAGCAAGUCAGAUGUGAAAUCCUAUGGCUUAACCAUAGAACUGCAUUUGAAACUGUUAUUCUAGAGUAUGGGAGAGGUCGUUGGCCUUCUUGGUGUCGUGGUCAACUCCGUAGCGCUCCCGAGGACUACUCAUUGCG
Molecule: ribosomal RNA, 362 nt
Filed under: uncultured bacterium
Lineage: Bacteria
Description: partial 16S ribosomal RNA
Rfam family: Bacterial small subunit ribosomal RNA
Source: RNAcentral